Molecule: ribosomal RNA, 429 nt
Filed under: Pseudomonadota bacterium
Lineage: Bacteria; Pseudomonadati; Pseudomonadota
Description: Proteobacteria bacterium partial 16S ribosomal RNA
Rfam family: Bacterial small subunit ribosomal RNA
Source: RNAcentral
UGGGGAAUAUUGGACAAUGGGCGAAAGCCUGAUCCAGCCAUGCCGCGUGUGUGAAGAAGGUCUUCGGAUUGUACAGCACUUUAAGUUGGGAGGAAGGGCAGUAAGCGAAUACCUUGCUGUUUUGACGUUACCGACAGAAUAAGCACCGGCUAACUCUGUGCCAGCAGCCGCGGUAAUACAGAGGGUGCAAGCGUUAAUCGGAAUUACUGGGCGUAAAGCGCGCGUAGGUGGUUCGUUAAGUUGAAUGUGAAAGCCCCGGGCUCAACCUGGGAACUGCAUCCAAAGCUGGCGAGCUAGAGGAGGGCAGAGGGUGGUGGAAUUUCCUGUGGAGCGGUGAAAUGCGUAGAUAUAGGAAGGAACACCAGUGGCGAAGGCGACCACCUGGGCUCAUACUGACACUGAGGUGCGAAAGCGUGGGGAGCAAACAGG